This 1403-nucleotide ribosomal RNA is filed under the name uncultured bacterium. Its description in RNAcentral is "bacterial SSU rRNA". It matches the Rfam family "Bacterial small subunit ribosomal RNA". The record is from RNAcentral.
AGAGUUUGAUCCUGGCUCAGAUUGAACGCUGGCGGCAGGCCUAACACAUGCAAGUCGAACGGUAACAGGAAGCAGCUUGCUGCUUCGCUGACGAGUGGCGGACGGGUGAGUAAUGUCUGGGAAACUGCCUGAUGGAGGGGGAUAACUACUGGAAACGGUAGCUAAUACCGCAUAACGUCGCAAGACCAAAGAGGGGGACCUUCGGGCCUCUUGCCAUCGGAUGUGCCCAGAUGGGAUUAGCUUGUUGGUGGGGUAACGGCUCACCAAGGCGACGAUCCCUAGCUGGUCUGAGAGGAUGACCAGCCACACUGGAACUGAGACACGGUCCAGACUCCUACGGGAGGCAGCAGUGGGGAAUAUUGCACAAUGGGCGCAAGCCUGAUGCAGCCAUGCCGCGUGUAUGAAGAAGGCCUUCGGGUUGUAAAGUACUUUCAGCGGGGAGGAAGGGAGUAAAGUUAAUACCUUUGCUCAUUGACGUUACCCGCAGAAGAAGCACCGGCUAACUCCGUGCCAGCAGCCGCGGUAAUACGGAGGGUGCAAGCGUUAAUCGGAAUUACUGGGCGUAAAGCGCACGCAGGCGGUUUGUUAAGUCAGAUGUGAAAUCCCCGGGCUCAACCUGGGAACUGCAUCUGAUACUGGCAAGCUUGAGUCUCGUAGAGGGGGGUAGAAUUCCGAGGUGUAGCGGUGAAAUGCGUAGAGAUCUGGAGGAAUACCGGUGGGCGAAGGCGGCCCCCUGGACGAAGACUGACGCUCAGGUGCGAAAGCGUGGGGAGCAAACAGGAUUAGAUACCCUGGUAGUCCACGCCGUAAACGAUGUCGACUUGGAGGUUGUGCCCUUGAGGCGUGGCUUCCGGAGCUAACGCGUUAAGUCGACCGCCUGGGGAGUACGGCCGCAAGGUUAAAACUCAAAUGAAUUGACGGGGGCCCGCACAAGCGGUGGAGCAUGUGGUUUAAUUCGAUGCAACGCGAAGAACCUUACCUGGUCUUGACAUCCACGGAAGUUUUCAGAGAUGAGAAUGUGCCUUCGGGAACCGUGAGACAGGUGCUGCAUGGCUGUCGUCAGCUCGUGUUGUGAAAUGUUGGGUUAAGUCCCGCAACGAGCGCAACCCUUAUCCUUUGUUGCCAGCGGUCCGGCCGGGAACUCAAAGGAGACUGCCAGUGAUAAACUGGAGGAAGGUGGGGAUGACGUCAAGUCAUCAUGGCCCUUACGACCAGGGCUACACACGUGCUACAAUGGCGCAUACAAAGAGAAGCGACCUCGCGAGAGCAAGCGGACCUCAUAAAGUGCGUCGUAGUCCGGAUUGGAGUCUGCAACUCGACUCCAUGAAGUCGGAAUCGCUAGUAAUCGUGGAUCAGAAUGCCACGGUGAAUACGUUCCCGGGCCUUGCACUCACCGCCCGUCA